This 486-nucleotide ribosomal RNA is filed under the name uncultured bacterium. RNAcentral describes it as "partial 16S ribosomal RNA". It matches the Rfam family "Bacterial small subunit ribosomal RNA", at positions 30 to 507 of the family's 1533-position model. The record is from RNAcentral.
AUUGAACGCUGGCGGCAUGCCUUACACAUGCAAGUCGAACGGCAGUACGGGUGCUUGCACCUGGUGGCGAGUGGCGAACGGGUGAGUAAUACAUCGGAACAUGUCCUGUAGUGGGGGAUAGCCCGGCGAAAGCCGGAUUAAUACCGCAUACGAUCUACGGAUGAAAGCGGGGGACCUUCGGGCCUCGCGCUAUAGGGUUGGCCGAUGGCUGAUUAGCUAGUUGGUGGGGUAAAGGCCUACCAAGGCGACGAUCAGUAGCUGGUCUGAGAGGACGACCAGCCACACUGGGACUGAGCCACGGCCCAGACUCCUACGGGAGGCAGCAGUGGGGAAUUUUGGACAAUGGGCGAAAGCCUGAUCCAGCAAUGCCGCGUGUGUGAAGAAGGCCUUCGGGUUGUAAAGCACUUUUGUCCGGAAAGAAAUCCUUGGCCCUAAUACGGUCGGGGGAUGACGGUACCGGAAGAAUAAGCACCGGCUAACUACGUG